Helianthus annuus (common sunflower) is the source of this 4611-nucleotide RNA transcript. RefSeq lists it as uncharacterized. The transcript has 6 exons. NCBI's taxonomy places the organism in Eukaryota, Viridiplantae, Streptophyta, Magnoliopsida, Asterales, Asteraceae. The record is from RefSeq and is a predicted model, not a curated record.
UUUUUGGGCAUUAUUUUUGAAAAAAAUUGGUUUGGCGUUGUUAAAACAACGCUUUGUACAUGUUCACCAACCAAUUAGCAUUAACUCUUCCCUUUUUAAUCCAAAUAGGUUUUUUUGUUGAUUUUUUUAUUUUAUUUAAUUAUUUACACCCUUUAACAUAAUGCCCACAUCCCCACUACACCCAUUUUAGAAAAACGCCCAAUAAUGCCCCUUACUUACUGUGCUGUCACAUGACGAAAAACGCCCUAUGGUAAGGGUAUUAUUUACCCAAACCACUACACAUGGUGUAUGUAUGGUUACAUGACACAUUGUCACAUCACUAAAAAUGAUGUCACCUCACCAUUUUACUUUCUAUAUAUGCACGGCAUCUUAGACACAAUAGUAAAACCGAGAGUAUGUUCAUAAGACAGAAAAAUAGAACAAAUUUUUCCUUACAUAUUGACAAUGAUAAAGAUAUGAAAGUAAUGUUUUGAUUAGAUAACGUUUCUCUGCCGUUCAAAACAAAGAUAACGUUUCUCUAAUAAUAAAAAGCAAAAGCUUCGAAAUAGAAUAGAUCCUCUAAUAUCCUACACUCCUAUAUAUGCCUUUUAAUACUUGUAGCAAGCAUGAAGCAAUUGAAAUGGAGAGAACAAAGCUCAUUAUGCUUUCUUGGUUAUUCAUCUUUCUCUUUUCUACCCAAAUUCCAUCAAGACUGGCUCGUGAACACGAAUGGAUUGAACAUUCAAAAAGCCUAGUUAUACUUCAAGAAUCUCAUGGGUUAGAGACAACAACUUUAGAUGAUGACAAAGAAUUCAUGAAACAUGAUAUGGUGUCGUUAGCAAAGGGACAAAGAGGAGGGAGGGGAAGUGGCGGCGGAUCAAUAAACCAUACCCCUCGUAAAAACAAGGCACUAGUUGAAGCUCCGUAUCAUAUGCUCGUAUUGGUUAUGCUUCUCAUUUCAUGUAUUUUCUAUUUAUAUUAACUUAAAAUAUUAUUAUUUCAAAGAGUUGUGAGUCAUGUGCCCUAUCUAAUUUGUUUUAACUAAACUAGUUAGAUUUUUCGCCCGCGCAUUGCGGCGGGGACCCAAUGUCUGCAAAACACGUAUCAGCAGCAGAUACCGAAUAUCAAAAUAUAAAUAAAAAUAACGUUGUAAGGAUUGUCACUCCGUCCUAAAAAAACGAUUUUAAAUAACCUAAUAUAUAAUAAUAGGACCCACACGUCCUACACGUUGGAAAUUCGGUAGUUUUCAAUUUAGUUAUUAUGGUGCUAGCACGUUAAAAUAUGGAUGAGCUCGGUACCUGUAACGGCACCAAAAGCACCGAUCCGGAAAAUCAUCGAAAUUAGGUACCGACACCGAAAAUGCUCGGUACAAUAUGGUCGUGUUUGAACGUUUUUAAAUGUUUAUAGGUUAGGGCUUUGUCUCUAAUAAGAAUACGUAUAUGUGUUGCGUUUGGAUUUGACGAUUGACAACACUAACAAUAUACUAAGUUAUAAAAAAUACAAUAAUUUAAUGCAGGUAAUAUACUAUAAAAUGCUUUCUUUAUAUUUAUUACAAAUAUACGAGCGUAUGACACGUUUAUUAUAUAUAAACACAUCUAUUAUCUAUAUUAAAACAAAACAUUUUGGUGCCACUUGGCAUAAUUUUAAUCUACUAAUUGCCACCUGGCAUUUGCUUAAACCAUUACUCUUCUUUUUGAGCGGCAAUUUGUUUACAAGCGGCUUCUCAAACACGCUUUAUUCAAAAACCCUAAUUAUCAUCUUCUUCAAUUCUCUCAACUGAAAUCAAUCUCCAAUUUAUCAUCUCUUCAUCAUUCAUCAGUUGAAAUCAUUCUCCACCGCCUCAUGCUCCAGCCGUUUCUCUCCUCCAAAGCCUAAUCCCAAAUUUGUUAUCCUCCAUUGAUCGUCGCCUCCUCCAAACCCUAAUUCCAAAUUUGUUGUCCUCCAUUGAUCGUGGCCUCCAGUUACAGGUUUCUGGUAUGUGGUCCCGGAAGAAGAAAUCUCAAUCUAUCAUCUUCUCAACUCUGAGCACCACUUCAGUUUGUUCAAAACAAAGUUUGAAUAAGGCCCCGAUUCUUCCGACUGGUUAUAUGUAUUUGUAUUAAAAAUCAGGGUUCGUGUGGAUCGUGCUGGUCCUUUAGUACAACCGGGAGCUUUUGAAGAAUCUCACUUCCUUCAAACAGGGGAGUUGGUCUGGCGAUUCAUUGCUAAUGGUGAUCUACUAAUGGUAUCUCAUAGGGCAAAUGAUGUGUGCUGCUAGCAACACGUAAGCUUAGGUAUUUGUUCAAUUAUCUACUUAAUUGCUGGUAUUUGUUCAAUUAUCUACUUAAUUGCUGGUUUUUUUCAGUUCAAUGUAGUUUAAUAUUUACACAAGUAAUCAAACGUUCCUCAAACUUCUGACUUUUGUUGGUUAAAAUGGGCGCAUGUUAAGGUUCUUUGCUUCAACUGGAGGCUGCUCCUGAAUAGGAUUCCUGUCAGUCCUAAUUUAAGCAGGAGGGGUGAGGCGGUAGGAUCGAUGUUAUGUCAAUUCUGCAGGCGUGAAAAGGAAAUGACAGACCAUAUAUUCUCCAACUGCUAUCUUACCGCUGAGGUAUGGAGAAGGGUGUCGUGGUGGAGCGGCUUCCCCUUCUACGCGGCUACCAAUGUGGCUGGACUGUUUAAUAUUGCAGCUUCAGUGUCGGGUUCUAAGGCGAGGCGUCGUGGGGCAUUGCGGUGUUGUAUACGACUAUUUGGUUUGUGUGGAAGGCUCGGAAUAACUUUUUUUUAAUAGGCGUCAAACUACUGUAGAAACUCUAAUGGAAGAUAUUAUCACUUUUUAAUGGGUGGUUAACAGGUCCAAAAAUAGGUCUCUAUCUUGGCACACUUGGAGAUGUUCUGCUGUGGCUUGCUUUUAGUAUGCAUGGUUAUUGUUGUUACUUUUAGUUUGUUGAUGGCCUGUGGCCGUUUUUCUCUGUUUGUACUUGGUUCUCUUGGCUUCGCGCUGUGGUGUGUUAAUGAGCAGUGCCUUUUUCUAAAAGUUAUUGCAUUUUUUAUGAAUUUCUCACUUAUUAUAUUGUGGCUAUUAUGGUUUAUGUAGAUUCACGCAAAGACAUGGUAAUAGAGGACAGCUACAUUAGUGUGGGCGAUGAUGUCAUUGCAAUAAAAGGUGGUUGGGAUCAAUAUGGUGCUGUUUAUGGUCGACCUUCAAAAAAUAUUCUUAUCUGAAAUCUUAUGGUUCUUUCGAUGGUGAGGUGAGAUUUCCAUGCAAGGUUUUUCUAUCAUUUAUAGUUUUAUGACUUUAUCUUUUAUUUAUGUGGAGUCGUGUUCAAUAUUUAAACGGUUUUAAGUAGACUUUAUCUUUUAUUUCUGUCAAACAAGCUACUAUUUUAAUAUUCCUGACCUCUACUUGAACUAUGUAUCCAUUUGAGAAAGAUUCCCUCAAAUUUCAUAUAUAGUGUAAAGUUGAGAAAAAUGUAGAAUAUCUGACUAUAGACUAUUAGCCAAAUAUCUUAAAUACCCUUAUAUAGUUACAAAUUAUUAAUUAUAUUUGACAAUGAGAAUGAAAUAAUAAGAUGAGUGGUAAAUUUGUGGACCUAUUCGUACAAGUUUCUUGCUCUCUACCUCUAGCCCAUCUCAUAAAUGAGAAGAUAUUUGUUGUUCAUGGUGUUGGACUUUUUAGCACCGAUUGGGAGAAGCUCUCUUACAACAAAGGGAUUAAUCGAUUUCGUAAGCCCUAAGAAGAAGGUUUGAUAUGUGAGAUACUAUAAAGUGAUGUACCAUGAUGGAAAUGUGCAGCAGCAACAACAAAUUAUAUUUAGAUGGAAUAAUUGGGCGUUAUCAAAAGUAAAUCUAUUUUUGUGGCGGGCAAUUGCUUUGAAAUUUCUAACUUUGGAUGCAUUGGCUACGCGGGGUUUGGUAAUCAUUAAUGAUCUAUGUUCGUUAUGUUGAUGUGCGUAAGAGUCAGCAAAACACAUGUUAUUUUCUCACUCGGUUCACGCCUUGGCUCUGGCCAAGGCACACUUCGUGACAGGAGCGCUGAUCCAAUGAAGCUCGCGCUAUGCAUGAGAAGUUGCAGUCUCACCCAAAUGUAGGCGUGAGCAAGAAAAUAUAUAAAUUUGUGUUCAGCUUCCAGGUGAAUGAAUUCUUUAAAGUUUUUUUUUAUUAUUAUAAGUUUAUUACAAAUUCAGCUAAAUGAUGUUUACAAAUGUCUCCUUAAAUUGGAAUGGGAUGGCAACUUAUUGCAUAUUAGGCAACUUAUAUGUAUAUUUUAGCAUAUAUAAAUCUAAUUUUAAGUUGAUACACCAUGAGUUUUCAUAUAUUCAAGCGCAAAAUAUAGUGGUAUGUUGUGAUUUAGUUCCGACAUGCUUCAUCAAUGUUUUAUGUUACCUUUUCAUUCUAACGUUUUGUUAGGUGCUUUAAUAUUUGGUCCAGAAGGUAUCUAUCCGGCGACCCUUAGACGUGAAGCCUAAGUUUGGAAAGGCCUAGAACAAAAAUGAUGAUUUACCUGAGGAUUCAAUGCCAGUAGAUAUUAUAUAUCUCUCUUAAGCCACCCGCGAAAAUCGCGGGAUCUUAGGCUAGUUAUUAAGUAAAUAAGUAUUAAUAGUUUUGUGAUAUCCUUAAGUUAAUACGAAUGAAUUGUUUUAUCCGACUUAUUUA